RNAcentral lists this ribosomal RNA (534 nucleotides) under Leptodactylus natalensis. RNAcentral's name for it is "partial large subunit ribosomal RNA". It matches the Rfam family "Bacterial large subunit ribosomal RNA", at positions 1928 to 2617 of the family's 2925-position model. The record is from RNAcentral. Lineage: Eukaryota; Metazoa; Chordata; Amphibia; Anura; Leptodactylidae.
CGGCCGCGGUAUCCUAACCGUGCGAAGGUAGCGUAAUCACUUGUUCUUUAAAUGAGGACUAGUAUGAACGGCAUCACGAGGGUUAUACUGUCUCCUCCCUUUAAUCAGUGAAACUGAUCUUCCCGUGAAGAAGCGGGAAUAAAUCUAUAAGACGAGAAGACCCUAUGGAGCUUUAAACACACUACAAUUGCCUCACUCUAUGUUAAUCUCUGGAAAACCACUUAUCCGGGCAUUUUGAUAGCAAGUUUUAGGUUGGGGUGACCGCGGAGCAAAAAACAACCUCCACAGCGAACAGGACUUUCCCUUAAGCUCAGGAUUACAACCCUAAGAAUCAAUAAAUUGACACCCAUUGACCCAAUUUCUUGACCAACGGACCAAGUUACCCUAGGGAUAACAGCGCAAUCUACUUCAAGAGCUCCUAUCGACAAGUGGGUUUACGACCUCGAUGUUGGAUCAGGGUAUCCCAGUGGUGCAGCCGCUGCUAACGGUUCGUUUGUUCAACGAUUAAAACCCUACGUGAUCUGAGUUUCAGAC